RNAcentral lists this long non-coding RNA (660 nucleotides) under Cricetulus griseus (Chinese hamster). RNAcentral's name for it is "lncRNA (ENSCGRG00015033910.1)". Lineage: Eukaryota; Metazoa; Chordata; Mammalia; Rodentia; Cricetidae. The record is from RNAcentral.
CACACACACACGCGCACGCGUACAGCACUGCCUGGAUGCAGAGGUCAGAAAACAACUUGUGAGAGUCAGUCAGUUCUUUCCUUCCACCCUGUGGGACCUGACAGUUGAACUCAGGUCAUCAGGCUUAGUAGUUCAUGUCUCUACCCAUGGAGCAAUCCCCCAAGACUUUUGGCCUGCUUCCUUACAGAACACAGCACCACCAGCCCUGGGAUGGCACCACCCACAAUGAGUUGGGGCCUACUGAUCAAUCACUAAUGAAGAAAAUGCUUUAAAGUCUUGGCUACAGCCUGAUCUUAUGAAGACAUUUUCUCAGUUGAGGUUCCCUCCUCUUGGAUGACACCAGCUUGUGUCAAGUUGACAUCAAACUAUCCAGCACAGGGCCCAUGGAAGGCUACCGAAGUGGCCAGUCUCACUGGCUGAUUCAGCAAGUGCGAGCCUCCACAGUGACAUUUCCUUCAACCAAACCACACCCACUCCAACGAGGCCACGCCUCCUAAUAGUACUGAAUGCUGCUACCUUUGGAGGCCAAUGCCUUUCAAUCCACCAUGUAGCCUAUCCAAAAGGAACUCUGCAACUGGCUUUAAAAGAGGAAAAUAGACCAAUAGACUGGGAGGUAACGAAGCACGCCUUUAGUUCCAGCACUCAGGAGGCAGAGGCAGG